Long non-coding RNA from Rhipicephalus microplus (southern cattle tick), 276 nucleotides. NCBI's taxonomy places the organism in Eukaryota, Metazoa, Arthropoda, Arachnida, Ixodida, Ixodidae. The record is from RefSeq and is a predicted model, not a curated record.
AUCACCGUGUGAUAUCCUUAAGAGUAUACUGUCAUGAGAACGCAUACAGCAACGUUCCUAGUCUGCAUGCUCUGUUUUGCUGUUUACUGCUGCGAUGCUGGUGCUUUCAUGAGUAACAGACCUAGCGUGUGCGAAAACUAUAGCUGCGGUGAUCAUGGCCAAUGCCCAGAAGGCUGUGAGUGCAACGGGCAGUUGACGCGUGAUGGACGAAAAUGUUCGACAAAAUAUUGACAAACUGAUGUGACGGAAUGAUUGUUAAAUAAACAGUUCAAAUGC